GUGCCAGCAGCCGCGGUAAGACGUAGGACGCGAGCGUUAUCCGGAUUUACUGGGCGUAAAGCGUCUGUAGGCGGAGUGGGAAGCUGGGCGUGAAAGCUCCGGGCUUAACCCGGAGAGGACGUACAAUACUCCCAAACUAGAGGGCAUCAGAGGGGCGUGGAAUUUCCGGUGUAGCGGUAAAAUGCGCAGAUAUCGGAAGGAACACCAGUGGCGAAGGCGGCGCUCUGGGGUGUACCUGACGCUAAGAGACGAGAGCUAGGGGAGCGAACAGGAUUAGAGACCCUGGUAGUCCUAGCCGUAAACGAUGGAUGCUAGGUGUAUGGUCGGAAGGCUGUGUGCCGAAGCGAACGCGAUAAGCAUCCCGCCUGGGGAGUACGGCCGCAAGGCUAAAACUUAAAGGAAUUGACGG
RNAcentral lists this ribosomal RNA (409 nucleotides) under uncultured bacterium. RNAcentral describes it as "bacterial SSU rRNA". It matches the Rfam family "Bacterial small subunit ribosomal RNA", at positions 505 to 916 of the family's 1533-position model. The record is from RNAcentral.